Cucurbita moschata (crookneck pumpkin) is the source of this 1109-nucleotide long non-coding RNA. RefSeq lists it as uncharacterized. Lineage: Eukaryota; Viridiplantae; Streptophyta; Magnoliopsida; Cucurbitales; Cucurbitaceae. The record is from RefSeq and is a predicted model, not a curated record. The transcript has 3 exons.
GGCAUCUGAAUCUUAUGUUCUCUCUGUUAGAAUGGAUUUGUGGGUAGGUUGGUAUCCUACAUUAGGUAUGAGUACACUACAUAUUGACUUUGUUGGACAGAGCAGUACACUUCUGAAUCAUCACCUUUUCCUUUAAUAUUCUUUACUGUUCAAUUGCAAGUCUGCAACUUCCUUUCGAUCCAUGGGGAUGAUUCAGAAGCAUGAUUGAAAAUUGAGUGUCCUUUGGGGAAAAAAGAAGAAGAAGAAGAAGAAGAAGAAGAAGGGACCCCUCAAAUCAAAACAGUGUAAACAGUGUUGCACUGCGAUUGGGAAUUGUAAAAGAGGCUUUUUAGAUGGAAGGUGGGUGUGCCAUGUCAAUGUCACAGCACCGCCGUUGCCCUACGGCUACUGCAAAAGUGCAGCAGCCUGCUAAGAAAAGCAUAAAGGCGUUUUAGCACGGCAGGUCCCCACCCCCCCACGGCUGUAAUUGGCAGCGCCAUAGCACUUUCUUUUACAUUGUUAUGCUCAGGUUUCAAGAUUAUAACUGGAUUUGUCGCUGAUUUACUCAAUAAACCCCUCUUCAUUGCUGCUGCUGCUGCUAAGGACAACGACAAAGGAAGGAAGAUGAGAUAUAGUCAAAUUUUGUUUUCAAACAAAUAAAGAGCAACAAAAUUCGAAGUUCCGCGGGAAAACAAUAAUCGGAAUCGUUAAGUGUGCAAUUACGCCUCUGAUUCGCCUCUCCAACAAUAAUAUUCUUCAAUGAAUUUGCAUUAAUUGCAAAAGGAUGAUCGAUCAAGGGACUACAAAAUUUGUUAGGUCGUGCAUCUGUCAUUUUCCUCUUGAAUCUGACUUUUCCGCUUUCAAGAUUGCUUCAGUUAAACACCAAUUUCCCGAUUGAUCGACUCUAUGAAGAUCAAGCAGAACAAGAAGUUGCCAAUUGUUUGGUGUGUUCGCUGGGCCGUCGCGCGAGUGCGCAUAAACUGUUUGUCAAAAUGCGAAUCCGCUUUGGCAUUGGAAUUGCUGCUGAGUUUACUUUUGAAACACUUACUGGCUACUUACGUUCUUCAUUAAUUCAAGUACACAACAUAUUUAAAACCUCUUGAAGAACUCAGCAGCCCGAUCCUUUCGGA